AGUCGACGGGGAUUUUAGAAGAAGCUACUUGUAGUGGACUUUAAUAUUCUAGUGGCGAACGGGUGAGUAACGCGUGAGGACUUACCCAUUUCCGGGGGAUAACAGUUGGAAACAGCUGCUAAUACCGCAUAAGCCUAAGGGUAAAAGAAGUAAUUCGGGAAUGGAGAGACUCGCGUCCUAUCAGCUAGUAGGUGAGAUAAGAGCUCACCUAGGCUAAGACGGGUAACCGGACUGAGAGGUCGAACGGUCACACUGGAACUGAGACACGGUCCAGACUCCUACGGGAGGCGGCAGUGGGGAAUUUUGGGCAAUGGGGGGAACCCUGACCCAGCGACGCCGCGUGAGUGAAGAAAUUCCUCGGAAUGUAAAGCUCUGUUGUAUGGGAAGAUAAUGACGGUACCAUACGAGGAAGCCCCGGCAAACUACGUGCCAGCAGCCGCGGUAAUACGUAGGGGGCAAGCGUUGUCCGGAAUUACUGGGCGUAAAGCGCACGCAGGCGGAAUUGUAAGUCCGUUGUAAAAUUCAGAGGCUCAACCUCUGUCUGUCGGCGGAUACUGCAAAUCUAGAGUAUGUGAGAGGGAAGUGGAAUUCCUGGUGUAGCGGUGAAAUGCGUAGAUAUCAGGAGGAACUCCGGUGGCGAAGGCGACUUCCUGGCACAAGACUGACGCUCAUGUGCGAAAGCUAGGGUAGCGAACGGGAUUAGAUACCCCGGUAGUCCUAGCCGUAAAUGAUGGAUACUAGGUGUGGGUGUCGCAGGGCAUCCGUGCCG
This 769-nucleotide ribosomal RNA is filed under the name uncultured bacterium. RNAcentral describes it as "bacterial SSU rRNA". It matches the Rfam family "Bacterial small subunit ribosomal RNA", at positions 60 to 848 of the family's 1533-position model. The record is from RNAcentral.